Molecule: long non-coding RNA, 419 nt
Filed under: Mytilus galloprovincialis (Mediterranean mussel)
Lineage: Eukaryota; Metazoa; Mollusca; Bivalvia; Mytilida; Mytilidae
Source: RNAcentral
UCAAAGUAAACCUGGUUAAAGUUACCUGUUAGGACAUCCAAAAGUUAUAAAAAAUGACCUGUGUUACACAAAAAACAAAGCACAAACAAGUGCUUAACAACAUCUAAAUACCUCAUAUUAAAUAGCAUAACAUUUCAAAUGUCCCGCAUUCAUGCUAACUGAUACUGAAAUUCAACCGGUACUAUAAAUCAUAAUAAAUAACAACCAUAAUUUGGAAUCAACUGUUGCUAAGCAACCAGUAGGGCCAAUGAUUUAUGCAAAUGAAAAGUUCCUCGUAAUGCACCAGCCUAAAAUAACAAACGGCACCUAAACAUACAGUGUACGAUACUCGUAAAUUGGGCAACUUCUAGAAUUCCCACGAUGAAGAUUACAAUACAUUCUAGACUAGUAUAUAUAUAAAUUAAAGCUGUUUUCGACAC